This 3838-nucleotide long non-coding RNA is filed under the name Homo sapiens (human). Its description in RNAcentral is "HSALNT0154986". Lineage: Eukaryota; Metazoa; Chordata; Mammalia; Primates; Hominidae. The record is from RNAcentral.
GGUCCUCCUCUGCCCUGGGUUUCUAGUACAAGAGUAGGGAUUUAGUCAUAGCCACUUAGUUUCCUGACGAAAUGUGGUGAAGUUGGAAAGAGGGAAAGAAAGCACAAACGGGAGUAAGAAGCAGAGGGGGUGGGGCUGGGAACAAUCUAUUAAUCAAUCUCCUCCCAAGCCAGAAACAGUAAUUGUUGAGGCUCACACAUCCUUCACCUGCUAACAAUCUGCAGCUGCAAUACAACGUUCUGAUUAUGAAUGUCAAAAAGGCAGAGCAUGAAAUUAACUUCCCCUUAGUCAUUGGGCACAGGGAGACACUACACUAAUUCACUGCCCUUGGUAUGAAAACUUCCCAUGACAACGUCGCAUCAAAUUAGGGCCCAUGCUACCCUGGUGCCAUCUCUAUCUCUCCCCAGUGCACUCUUUUACAAUCAGGCCCAGCCUGAAAACAAGGGCCCUGCUUGUUCCAGAAAAGUUAGGGCGACAGGCAGGAGGUGAUGGUUAACUGGGACAGUAGGGAGAAGGGCUGCUCUGGUCCCCCGUGGGGGCUGCCCACUGAAAAGUGGAGGUGGGAUCUCAUUGUGCUAAGGAGUAACUCACUCGGCAGAGCAUCUGAUGCAGUAAUGUACCACUAGCCCCACCUGAGAGAUGGGAAAACUGAGGGGGGCGGCAGAAGGGUGGAGGUGGCAAAAACCUUCUCAGGCUGCCUUUUGCGCAACCUCUAAAAAGUACAGUCUCAGGCUGCCCACCAGUCAGUCCAUCCCUCUUAAAAAAUUUAAGCACACUCAGUUAUUCACAGGCCAACUCUAAAUGCCUCUGGCACAGGGCGCAAAGUGCUCUGUUAGUGCCUCCAAGCAGCCCACCGCCAAGGCACUGUCAUCAGCUGAGGUCUACAAGGGGAUAACCCUAGGGGUCUGCAGAACGCAGGCCUCCUAAGCCAACACAGGGAGGGGAGGAAGGGAGGUCUUACUCCUUGGGCAACCCUCAAGAUGGGGCCUGACCUCCAGCCUUGGGAUCACUUCUUACCCCUCCCCCAAUUCUCAGGCAGGGUGCCAGGAACCUUUGUGGGUGGGGAUGGACCCUGUUUCCCUCUCCCUCCCGUAGGUUUUCACCCCAUCGCCCCUGUGGCCCAGAGGGGAUAUCUGCUGCACGCUGGUGGCUUCCACAAGGACGUGCAUGUGUGCAUGCCCAGGUGGUAGGUGGCAUGGCCUGUAUACACAAGGGAGGACAGCCACAUGCUCACAGAGGACAGAGACGACCUCUAUCUCAGGAGGGGAUGGUAACACAGGCAUGCCCCAGCUGGGAGGGGAAACUCCCCUAUCAUUUCCAUCACUAAAAUCUCCUGCGAGUUUCCAGCCAGCCCUUUGAGGCAGAUGCUGCCCUGGACACACCUCGCAGAUGGAUGCACUGAUGGCCAAGAGACUAGAACCACCAGAGGUUCUUCGUGCAAGGGGAGCAUUCACUCACCUACAGCCAAUCAUCACAAGGGAGCGGACUGGCAGCUCAGAGCAGAGAGAAGCUAAGCACACCCUGCCACCCUGGAAGGAGUCACCAAGCCGACUGGGGGAGCUGGAUGCUUUUCCCUCUUGCCUUUUUGGUCUCUUAUGAUCUCCUCCAGUUUUGUUCUGUGGCCUUCUAAAAUAGCCAUUAAUUAGAGCCUGGUAAUUAACUUACUGGUUCAAGUAAUAUUUUGCAAAGGAAUUCCAUUAAAGAGUCGAUUUGCAUAUUCUAAUAUGGGGCCUGGAAAUAGGCAGGGCUACCUGGAGGAGAAUGAAAGCAGUCCCAUGGCACCUGUCAGGCCUGGCACCUGGGCCUGGGCUCUGCCUGGUAACCGAAGGUGAGAGGGGAGGCAAAGAGUUGCUCUCUGGGAAGUUCUCCCCAAGAAGGUGGGGAGCUUAUUCACACACCGGCCAGCUCAGUGUCCAUGCACCCAGACAGAAAGUGCACACAUGCACACAAGUAUGCACGUGAGUGCUCACAGAACACACUAUACACAUGGGCACAACAGGGUAUACGUACACAGACAUGUACAAACAACUGGCAGAUGCAUACCCAAGAAGAAAACACACGAUAAUAACAAUAGUAGCCAACACUUAACCUGAACACAUAGAUUGAAUCAUAUGCAAUUGCCUGUAUUUGGCCUCCCAAAACAGCAACUUUAUACAGUCUCACCCCAUAUGAUGUACCAGGCACUGUUCCAAAUACUUCACCUGUAUUAACUCAAUUAAAUGCACAGACAUGUAUAAGGACAUUAACAUAUAAUGUACACACAUCUUCAUGAGGACAGGUGCACACUUGCAACACAUACAAAAGACGUACACAGACAAACAUAUGCUUGUGCAAAGAAAGGCUUCUCCAGCCUUUGAAACCCCAGCCUUGCUGAUCCCAUUCUCACUAGCUAAUUUCCACCGUUCCUAAAAACAUUGCCCAGCUCAGAUCUUGGGAAGGUACACAAGGGAGCUCCAGAUCUAAAGGAGAGUAAUAAAAAUGAGAAAGCAAAAAAUAAAUUGAUUCUUCUAUACGUCCAGGUCGUAUUCUGUGGCUCUCCCCUUCCUCUCUAGAGAUGAGACUCAGAAUCAUGUGCUCCUGGGCCGGUCAGCCCUGCCCCCAAAGGUGCCCAUGGGGCUCAAGUACAAUGCUGCAGUUGAGAGGGGAUCUGGUUCCAAUGCCUGGCUUCUGCAUAGGCCCCAGCUCCAUGCCUUUGACUGUGUGCCUCAGUUUUCCUGGCCAUAGAGCAGCCCUUUCACUGCCUACCUACCCUACAGGGCAGAAGACCUCUUAAAGUGCUGUGUAAAUACAGGGCAUCCUUAUGAAUGAUAGGAUUAGGAAUUAAACCUGAUUUCCUUAUGGAGAGGAGAGGACGGGAGGAAGGUGGAAAGAAGAAGGGAGGGGGAGGAGGAGAGGACAGCCAGGUGAGCCUUCCUUACAGGUAAUUAAUGAAUUCCUUGUCAUACCUCUUGGAAGGCAGAGGCUCAUUUAACGUGUAGGAUCCACCUACAUGGGACCUCUCAGAGCUGAGGAAGACCAAACAGGGCAACCAAGAAUCCUGCAAGAGGCUUGUCAGAACACUCAGGCAAAGGACAGGAAUAGACAAGUCUCAAAAGAAGCACUGCCACUGGCCAUGAAACUCAGGAAAGCACUAUUCGAUCACCAACAAGCAAAUGAAUGCAAAUAACAAAAAAAUGCCCUUUUUCUGCCUAUCCAAACGAUAAAGACUGCUUUAAUGAUGACAUCCAAUGUUUUGAAGGGUGUGAGGAAACAGGUAAGCACUCUCAAAAAUCACUGGGGAGGGGUAUGAAUUAUUACAGGAUUUUGGUGGGUGACAUUUUUCUAAGAAAAAUCUCAAACUCUUCAUAUUUUUAGACCUAGUAAUUCUGUUUCUAAGACUUUAUCCUUUGGGAAAAAUCAGAAAUGUAGGCAAAGAUAAAUAUUCAAGGAUUUAAAUCCCAGUGUCAUUUUUAAUAAAGAAAACCUAGACAUAACCUAAAUGCCUAAAUGAUUAAAAACAAGUAUGACCCAAACGGAAGAUGGAACAAUGAACUUUUAAAACUGAUUAUUAAAACACACAUGAGAGCUUUGCUUUCCCAGGUGUAAGCAGGAAUCCCUAGGAAAACAUCCUGUGCUCUAGGUAAUAAUGGCUGUUUCUUAAGUUUAAGGCAAUAAUGACCCAUCUUAAGCUCGAAUCACCUUACCAGGCACAGCAACAUCUAUUAUCUCUUGAACCUCAGGAUGAGGCCACAUGAUUGCUUAUUAUUCCCACACUGUGGAUGAGAAAACUGAGGCUUACCAAGACGAGGUGACUUAACCCUACCAAUAUUAACUGAAAACCUAUGACAUAUUAAUCUAA